GUGUCAGCCGCCGCGGUACUACGUAGGUGGCAAGCGUUGUCCGGAUUUAUUGGGCGUAAAGCGAACGCAGGCGGGAGAAUAAGUCAGCUGUGAAAGCCCCCAGCUUAACUGGGGAAGUGCAACUGAAACUAUUUUUCUUGAGUGCAGAAGAGGAGAGUGGGACUCCAUGUGUAGCGGUGGAAUGCGUAGAUAUAUGGAAGAACACCAGUGGCGAAGGCGGCUCUCUGGUCUGUAACUGACGCUGAGGUUCUAAAGCAUGGGUAGCGAACAGGAUUAGAUACCCUGGUAGUCCAUGCCGUAAACGAUGAGUGCUAAGUGUUGGGAGGUUUCCGCCUCUCAGUGCUGCGGCUAACGCAUUAAGCACUCCGCCUGGGGAGUACGACCGCAAGGUUAAAACUUAAAUAAAUUGGCGC
Molecule: ribosomal RNA, 413 nt
Filed under: uncultured bacterium
Lineage: Bacteria
Description: bacterial SSU rRNA
Rfam family: Bacterial small subunit ribosomal RNA
Source: RNAcentral